UUACGACCACGUCACGUUGAAACCCCCGGUUCCCGUAUGGUUCUCCGAAGUUAAGCAACGUUGAGCCUGGUCAGUACUUAGAUGGGUGACCGCUUGGGAAUGCUAACUGCUGUAAG
Non-coding RNA from Acanthosepion pharaonis, 116 nucleotides. NCBI's taxonomy places the organism in Eukaryota, Metazoa, Mollusca, Cephalopoda, Sepiida, Sepiidae. The record is from the annotation of a GenBank genome assembly.